GUGGGGAAUAUUGGACAAUGGGCGAAAGCCUGAUCCAGCAAUGCCGCGUGAGUGAUGAAGGCCUUAGGGUUGUAAAGCUCUUUUACCAGGGAUGAUAAUGACAGUACCUGGAGAAUAAGCUCCGGCUAACUCCGUGCCAGCAGCCGCGGUAAUACGGAGGGAGCUAGCGUUGUUCGGAAUUACUGGGCGUAAAGCGCGCGUAGGCGGCUCAGCAAGUCAGGGGUGAAAUCCCGGGGCUCAACCCCGGAACUGCCUUUGAAACUGCUAGGCUAGAAUCCUGGAGAGGCGAGUGGAAUUCCGAGUGUAGAGGUGAAAUGCGUAGAUAUACGGAGGAACACCAGUGGCGAAGGCGGAUUACUGGACGAUAACUGACGCUGAGGCGCGAAAGCGUGGGGAGCAAACAGGAUUAGAAACCCGUGUAGUCC
This 425-nucleotide ribosomal RNA is filed under the name uncultured bacterium. RNAcentral's name for it is "partial 16S ribosomal RNA". It matches the Rfam family "Bacterial small subunit ribosomal RNA", at positions 354 to 796 of the family's 1533-position model. The record is from RNAcentral.